This 499-nucleotide long non-coding RNA is filed under the name Solanum tuberosum (potato). RNAcentral describes it as "long non-coding RNA (STUB_LNC003809)". Lineage: Eukaryota; Viridiplantae; Streptophyta; Magnoliopsida; Solanales; Solanaceae. The record is from RNAcentral.
UUUAUUUCUCUCAUGUCGUUUAAUGUUAAUCCUUCUGUUUUCCUAUAAUUGUUUCAUAUGCUUAAAUGACUUUGUUUGGACCCGUCUCAGGUUAAGGUAAAAAACAAAGUCAAGAAUUUUUAGUUUAUAAACUUUAAUUAACAAUUCUUUUUGUUUUUUUGUGCAUUCUAAAUAAAUUAUUUUUACAUACAUACUUUUUUAAAAAUAAAAAUAACGCCUUGAGCUUUUCCCCAAUCUGUAACUAUAGUGGAUUUUCCCUGAGUGAGACCUUUGAGAAACACUUCUAAGACAUGUUGAGAAAUAAUGUCAUUUCGAAGAUUUAUUUUAAAUUCGUCAAACCACAUCAACCCCUUUUCUUCUUCCAUUAGAGAAAAUUGUUCCUCUGUUGAAGGACUAUUUUGCAGCAAAAGUUUAAUUAUAAGGACCAUAAGUUUAAUGCAGAGUGUUAACUGUUUCUAGUUCGACUCUUUCUAUGACACUAAUCCUCCCCCUCCCUCCC